This 465-nucleotide ribosomal RNA is filed under the name uncultured bacterium. RNAcentral describes it as "bacterial SSU rRNA". It matches the Rfam family "Bacterial small subunit ribosomal RNA", at positions 338 to 795 of the family's 1533-position model. The record is from RNAcentral.
CCUACGGGGGGCAGCAGUGGGGAAUAUUGCACAAUGGGCGCAAGCCUGAUGCAGCCAUGCCGCGUGUAUGAAGAAGGCCUUAGGGUUGUAAAGUACUUUCAGUUGGGAGGAAGGCGUUGAUGCUAAUAUCAUCAGCAAUUGACGUUACCCGCAGAAGAAGCACCGGCUAACUCCGUGCCAGCAGCCGCGGUAAUACGGAGGGUGCAAGCGUUAAUCGGAAUUACUGGGCGUAAAGCGCACGCAGGCGGUCUGUCAAGUCGGAUGUGAAAGCCCCGGGCUCAACCUGGGAACUGCAUUCGAAACUGGCAGGCUAGAGUCUUGUAGAGGGGGGUAGAAUUCCAGGUGUAGCGGUGAAAUGCGUAGAGAUCUGGAGGAGUACCGGUGGCGAAGGCGGCCCCCUGGACAAAGACUGACGCUCAGGUGCGAAAGCGUGGGGAGCAAACAGGAUUAGAUACCCUUGUAGUC